UAGACGCCUUCGAGAUAUGCAUCGGUGCGCUUCGACAGCGCAUAGUCGGCUUGCGCGACGACCUGGUUCCAUUUCGGGCGCGUCUGGCC
Molecule: transfer RNA, 89 nt
Filed under: Burkholderia lata
Lineage: Bacteria; Pseudomonadati; Pseudomonadota; Betaproteobacteria; Burkholderiales; Burkholderiaceae
Description: tRNA-Ser
Source: RNAcentral